Molecule: long non-coding RNA, 988 nt
Filed under: Lupinus angustifolius (narrow-leaved blue lupine)
Lineage: Eukaryota; Viridiplantae; Streptophyta; Magnoliopsida; Fabales; Fabaceae
Description: long non-coding RNA (LANG_LNC000483)
Source: RNAcentral
GCUUUUUUGGAAAAAUUUCUCUCUUCGCCUUCUUCUUCCAAUCCGACCCUUCAAACCCUUACUCUUCUGAUUCCUCCUCAACGAUUCAACAAUUGAACAACCCCAAACGUAAUACUCAACCAGAUCUCGCGUGUUCUAUAUAUUGGGAGCAACUCAUAUUUUUUGGUAUUCCAGUUUCACAUAAUGAUUUGUAAGUUCUCUUUAUUCUCCAUUAUGAAUUUCUUAUUCAUCUAUGUCUAUUGUUACGUUGUGGUUAUAUGUUUUAGAUUUUCUCACGUUCUCUCUUAUUUGGCAUUUCUUGCGUUUUGUCUCUCUUACUGUUUCCCUUAACGAUUUGACUUCAACGAUCUCUUUUUUUUUGUUUUUUUCUUCUAUCGCUUCUGGAUCCCGGUCCUUUUGAAAAUCAGAACAUCGAUCUGACUUGUGUUUUUAAAUAUUAUACAUAUCGGUAGCCGGAUAGGGCAGGUUGGAGGUGACUUUGGUGCCUGUUUAAAUGGGAUGGUUCAGCAGUUUUACAUGCUAUUGCAUGUGCCAUAUAAGCAUGAGGAAGAUGAUGUGAUGGGAUCGGUUUUUAUCGGAGGGGAUAUGGGUAGUGAGAGGAUUGAGAUUGUUGCUAUGAGAGAUGAUUUAAGGUCUUUCAGUGCAAGGUUGAAGAAUCAUGGGUUUUCCGAGGAUGAUAAUGUUGUUGCUACUAGAACUGUUGAUGAAGAGGAUGGGGGGUUUAAUUUUGGUUCUAAUGGUAUUGUCGGUACGCGGCAGGUAACGAAAAAUUUUCAUUUGUGAUUGUUAUUUGGUUGUUGGAUCUGUGAGUUUCUAUUUCUAAAUCGCUCAAUCAUUUUUUGCUUUCACUUUUCAGCAAGUUUGACUAUUUAUUGUAUGAUUUGUUGGUAAACUUCAAACUUGUAUAUGUGUUUUAUUAUUGGUUUGAGGUUUUGUUUUAUUAUUUUGUAGACUGGUCAAUUUGCUUUUAGGAAAACAAAUAUGUUUU